Molecule: ribosomal RNA, 615 nt
Filed under: Aphaenops ubachi
Lineage: Eukaryota; Metazoa; Arthropoda; Insecta; Coleoptera; Carabidae
Description: SSU rRNA
Rfam family: Eukaryotic small subunit ribosomal RNA
Source: RNAcentral
GUAGUCAUAUGCUUGUCUCAAAGAUUAAGCCAUGCAUGUCUCAGUACAAGCCAUAUUAAGGUGAAACCGAGAAAGGCUCAUUAAAUCAGUUAUGGUUCCUUAGAUCGUACACACAUUUACUUGGAUAACUGUGGUAAUUCUAGAGCUAAUACAUGCAAACAGAGCUCCGACCGGAGACGGAAGGAGUGCUUKUAUUAGAUCAAGACCAAUCGGCGGCAGUUUAGCUUCGGCUUUAUUGUUCGUCGCACUUUUUGGUGACUCUGAAUAACUUUUGGCUGAUCGCACGGUCUAGCACCGGCGACGCAUCUUUCAACUGUCUGCCUUAUCAACUGUCGAUGGUAGGUUCUGCGCCUACCAUGGUUGUAACGGGUAACGGGGAAUUAGGGUUCGAUGCCGGAGAGGGAGCCUGAGAAACGGCUACCACAUCCAAGGAAGGCAGCAGGCGCGCAAAUUACCCACUCCCGGCACGGGGAGGUAGUGACGAAAAAUAACGAUACGGGACUCAUCCGAGGCCCCGUAAUCGGAAUGAGUACACUUUAAAUCCUUUAACAAGGACCAAUUGGAGGGUAAGUCUGGUGCCAGCAGCCGCGGUAAUUCCAGCUCCAAUAGCGUAUA